GAUUGAACGCUGGCGGCAUGCCUUACACAUGCAAGUCGAACGGCAGCACGGGUGCUUGCACCUGGUGGCGAGUGGCGAACGGGUGAGUAAUACAUCGGAACAUGUCCUGUAGUGGGGGAUAGCCCGGCGAAAGCCGGAUUAAUACCGCAUACGAUCUACGGAUGAAAGCGGGGGACCUUCGGGCCUCGCGCUAUAGGGUUGGCCGAUGGCUGAUUAGCUAGUUGGUGGGGUAAAGGCCUACCAAGGCGACGAUCAGUAGCUGGUCUGAGAGGACGACCAGCCACACUGGGGCUGAGACACGGCCCAGACUCCUACGGGAGGCAGCAGUGGGGAAUUUUGGACAAUGGGCGAAAGCCUGAUCCAGCAAUGCCGCGUGUGUGAAGAAGGCCUUCGGGUUGUAAAGCACUUUUGUCCGGAAAGAAAUCCUUGGCUCUAAUACAGUCGGGGGAUGACGGUACCGGAAGAAUAAGCACCGGCUAACUACGUGCCAGCAGCCGCGGUAAUACGUAGGGUGCGAGCGUUAAUCGGAAUUACUGGGCGUAAAGCGUGCGCAGGCGGUUUGCUAAGACCGAUGUGAAAUCCCCGGGCUCAACCUGGGAACUGCAUUGGUGACUGGCAGGCUAGAGUAUGGCAGAGGGGGGGUAGAAUUCCACGUGUAGCAGUGAAAUGCGUAGAGAUGUGGAGGAAUACCGAUGGCGAAGGCAGCCCCCUGGGCCAAUACUGACGCUCAUGCACGAAAGCGUGGGGAGCAAACAGGAUUAGAUACCCUGGUAGUCCACGCCCUAAACGAUGUCAACUAGUUGUUGGGGAUUCAUUUCCUUAGUAACGUAGCUAACGCGUGAAGUUGACCGCCUGGGGAGUACGGUCGCAAGAUUAAAACUCAAAGGAAUUGACGGGGACCCGCACAAGCGGUGGAUGAUGUGGAUUAAUUCGAUGCAACGCGAAAAACCUUACCUACCCUUGACAUGGUCGGAAUCCUGCUGAGAGGUGGGAGUGCUCGAAAGAGAACCGGCGCACAGGUGCUGCAUGGCUGUCGUCAGCUCGUGUCGUGAGAUGUUGGGUUAAGUCCCGCAACGAGCGCAACCCUUGUCCUUAGUUGCUACGCAAGAGCACUCUAAGGAGACUGCCGGUGACAAACCGGAGGAAGGUGGGGAUGACGUCAAGUCCUCAUGGCCCUUAUGGGUAGGGCUUCACACGUCAUACAAUGGUCGGAACAGAGGGUUGCCAACCCGCGAGGGGGAGCUAAUCCCAGAAAACCGAUCGUAGUCCGGAUUGCACUCUGCAACUCGAGUGCAUGAAGCUGGAAUCGCUAGUAAUCGCGGAUCAGCAUGCCGCGGUGAAUACGUUCCCGGGUCUUGUACACACCGCC
This 1369-nucleotide ribosomal RNA is filed under the name uncultured beta proteobacterium. RNAcentral's name for it is "bacterial SSU rRNA". It matches the Rfam family "Bacterial small subunit ribosomal RNA", at positions 27 to 1394 of the family's 1533-position model. The record is from RNAcentral. Lineage: Bacteria; Pseudomonadati; Pseudomonadota; Betaproteobacteria.